Molecule: ribosomal RNA, 495 nt
Filed under: uncultured bacterium
Lineage: Bacteria
Description: partial 16S ribosomal RNA
Rfam family: Bacterial small subunit ribosomal RNA
Source: RNAcentral
GACGAACGCUGGCGGCGUGCCUAAUACAUGCAAGUAGAACGCUGAAGGAGGAGCUUGCUUCUCUGGAUGAGUUGCGAACGGGUGAGUAACGCGUAGGUAACCUGCCUGGUAGCGGGGGAUAACUAUUGGAAACGAUAGCUAAUACCGCAUAAGAGUAGAUGUCGCAUGACAUUUGCUUAAAAGGUGCAAUUGCAUCACUACCAGAUGGACCUGCGUUGUAUUAGCUAGUUGGCGAGGUAACGGCUCACCAAGGCAACGAUACAUAGCCGACCUGAGAGGGUGAUCGGCCACACUGGGACUGAGACACGGCCCAGACUCCUACGGGAGGCAGCAGUAGGGAAUCUUCGGCAAUGGACGGAAGUCUGACCGAGCAACGCCGCGUGAGUGAAGAAGGGUGUCGGAUCGUAAAGCUCUGUUGUAAGAGAAGAACGAGUGUGAGAGUGGAAAGUUCACACUGUGACGGUAUCUUACCAGAAAGGGACGGCUAACUACGUG